UACAGAGGUCUCAAGCGUUGUUCGGAUUCAUUGGGCGUAAAGGGUGCGUAGGUGGCGCGGUAAUUCGGGUGUGAAAUUUCGGAGCUUAACUCCGAAACUGCAUUCGAUACUGCCGUGCUUGAGGACUGGAGAGGAGACUGGAAUUUACGGUGUAGCAGUGAAAUGCGUAGAGAUCGUAAGGAAGACCAGUGGCGAAGGCGGGUCUCUGGACAGUCCCUGACACUGAGGCACGAAGGCCAGGGGAGCAAACGGG
RNAcentral lists this ribosomal RNA (253 nucleotides) under uncultured bacterium. Its description in RNAcentral is "partial 16S ribosomal RNA". It matches the Rfam family "Bacterial small subunit ribosomal RNA", at positions 524 to 776 of the family's 1533-position model. The record is from RNAcentral.